This 235-nucleotide ribosomal RNA is filed under the name uncultured bacterium. Its description in RNAcentral is "partial 16S ribosomal RNA". It matches the Rfam family "Bacterial small subunit ribosomal RNA", at positions 524 to 759 of the family's 1533-position model. The record is from RNAcentral.
UACGAAGGGGCUAGCGUUGUUCGGAAUCACUGGGCGUAAAGGGCGCGUAGGCGGCUAUUCAAGUCGGGUGUGAAAGCCCUGGGCUCAACCCAGGAAGUGCACUCGAAACUGGCGGGCUAGAGUAUCGGAGAGGUUGGUGGAAUUCUCGGUGUAGAGGUGAAAUUCGUAGAUAUCGAGAGGAACACCGGUGGCGAAGGCGGCCAACUGGACGAAUACUGACGCUGAGACACGAAAG